UCAAGAGGCAUUGAUUUCUUAUAGGUUUGAGCAUUUUUUUAUUCUGGAAAGUAAAUAAAACCAUGUUUUAAACCCACAUCCAUGUGAUGGAUCAUCAGUACGCACUGUUUUCAAAGUUUAGGGGAAAACAAAAAUGUGUAAAUAUUCCUGGUGACCUCUUUAACGGGACAAAGGAGGCUGCGGAUCGAUUCGUUACACCUUUUUAGUCAGGCUUCUCCGGGAGGGGAGGGGCUCUGAAUCCACAAGAGGCUCCAUUAAUAGCCCACUCUCAGUCCAAACUAUUAUCCAGCAUAAAGUGUUUAUAAAGAGCCAACGCUAUCUGAAACGAGGCAGCGUGGAGCCACAGAAACAGCGAGGAGGAUAGAAGACAAGAAGUUCUGUUUUUCUGUGCGCCUUUUUUAAGUCUCCAUCUUUCAUUCGGACUAAUUAAAACAAACAUUUUAGCUUCAACUUCAUGCUUUAACAAGAGAGGAAAGAGGAAGCAAAAAACUUUCUGCCAACCACCCCGUUCGACCAGAUCUGGUGACCUUUGAUUUGCUCAAUAAUAAAAGCAAACCACAAACAAGUUACUCCGUCGCCCAUCAUGUCGAAUGCAUGAAUCCCUCCCCUCCUGGAACUGUGGGACAGCGGCGGAGCGCCGACGAGAUGAGCCGUUUCCUUUCCUCUGUGAAGCUUUCGUGUGCAUUUCCAUACAGCCAAUUUUUUUUUUUUUUUUUGUCUCUCCUCCAGGUCUGACAAAUGAACGUCUGUGUAGCCGAGUUGACCAAAAGGUGAGGAACAAUUUGACCUUCAUUUUAUAAUCUUUACAUUCAUAAAUAGGUACAAAAAAAUGACAUAAAUGACUGUUUGAUUUAACCCUUUUAUUGUGUUUGGGUCAAAAUGGACCCGAAUGGGUCCAUUUGGACCCAAACACAAUAAAAGGGUUAAAUAUGUUAUUUAAUGCUGCCCUGAAAUGACAAAAAAAACCACAAAAAACAAACAAAAAAAUAAGGCAGAUUUAUAUUUCAAUAAAAUUAAUUCUCUUUCAGCAAGAGUCAAACAAAAAGUUUCUAUAAUCGUUCCCUAUGAAAAGACAAUUACCUAAAAACAAUUCAAAACACAAUUUAAAUAUACUUUCCAUAUGUUAUGACCAAAAUAGUUCUAUCCGUUCUGGUAAAGUGUUAAAAAAUAACCUAUCUGACCACAGACAACCUUCAAAGUUACCAGAAAGACUCAAAUUCAUCUUUUCCCUUGAUGCCAAUCAAAGAAGCAAAAGUUCCACCUUUAUGAUAAUAGCUCACCUUUUUAAUCUUGAGUAAUCUUAAAUCAAUGAUCAGAUACCUGGCACCCAUUGACAGCCUCGAUAUAAGAAUAUAUCCAAAGAAAUUAAUAAAGAAGAAGCUUUAACUUUGACGUGAGCUUUAUCUCCACAUCUAUCAGAUAAGGCUGCAAAAAUUAAAAAAUGCCAAGUAUGACUAUGGAGGAGAAGAAGAGGAGCGCUUUUGAUAUUUUCUGUAGAUUGACUUUUUUGCGGAGGUUGAAUGGGAUUUAAAGGACGAUGUAUUACCAAAAUUUGACUAUUAAAUCCUUAUAGGCUUCCAUAGAAAAGCACCAAAUUCAGGUUUAACCCUUAUUUUGUGUUUGAGUCAAAAUUGAUCGAUUUGGGUCAGUUUUUGGGUCAAUAUAAGGGUUAAAAUACAGUAAAACUUUUGUCUUUUUCAUAGACAAAUGUAGAUUAUUGUAUGGGUUACACUAUAGCUCAAAUUUAAUUUUGUAAAAAAAAAAAAUUUCCCAAAACCUCUCUGGGCUGAGCAAAUUUAAAUCUUUUUAUUUGUUCUCCAAUUAGUAAUUUUUCCACCAAUAAGGAGUAAAUAAAAAAAUCAGCCAAAUGUAAUUUACUUUUUAAUUUUUGUUUUGACAAAAAAAACUCUAAAAAUCUUUACAAGACUCUUAUUUUGGUGAAUAAAACUUAAAAAAGCAUCAUUUCAUUUGCAGUCAUGCACUGUAAAUCCGUCCUACUUCUAAUAACAUGAGCACUCCCAGAAACCGUUUCCAUGAGGAUAAAUUACCCGAAAUGACUCAACAAUAGAACCACAGCUUGAAGACUUUUUGUCAUCCGCUGUUUUGCGUAUUAAAUUAGAUUGCGCUAAUCUUCAGCUUUACUCUUAAAUUUAAAUCUGGAGAUCUCAAACUGUACAGAUCCCUCGCCGCUUCUAAAACGUGUCAGAGCCGCUAGUGUGCCGUACAUUAAAGGAGAAAAUGCUCCUAAAAAGGCUCUUUUCUGACAUCAACAUGACUUGUGUGCAAAGCGCCCAAAGAUCUGUGUAGUUCCAGGCAUAUAUUUAUGAAUAGGAACCUUUAAUUAGGGCUUGUGUUUCCUCCCUAGUCACAUUGAGGGAUGGUCCUCGCCGACAUUCAUUAAUGAUAAUCACCAAGAGCGAUGGCAUAGCUACAGGCCAAGUCUCAGGGGACUCGACACUUGAAAAGAAGCAUUAAAUUACACAGAGGGACUCUUUAAUUGCGAAAAGGAAAAUAUAUAGCCAUCAUUGUUAAAUAUGAUCUUUUGUAAGCCUUUGCUGCUUCAAAGAUUUGUCCAUGGGGUUUUCUUAUUUCUAAAUGGAUCUGCAGCCACACUUUGCAACAAAACACUGAAGAGGAGACUUUUGGAAGCCAAAAAUACCUUUAGCCUGUAAUGUUCUUCUUUUGGUUUAAUUUUAAACAAACUAACGUCAAAAACACCAAUAACAAUGUAAAAACACACACAUUGUAAUAUAUUUUUUAAAGUAUUGUGUUUCUUUAAAACUGUCAAAUCUCUUUGUUCCAUUUGCUUGAUGAUUUCUGGCCCACCGUCAAUGAAUGUCUAUGCAUCUAUUUUUUAUGUCAUAUAUAAGACGCACUGAGCAUUAAGCGAGACAAAAGAGUCAGAGAUAAGUCCAUCAGUCAAACUUUAUUACCUGCGUUCACAGUAAUUCUAGAACUUCUCUGUGACAUGCUACAUGUUAGCCACAUUAGAAGCGUUAGCUUAUUCACAAUACUUGUAACUCCAAACCUUGUUUGAAGCAUGUAAAAACAGACCGAUACUACUAAAACAAACAUUACUGUCACUCAAUACUUCUAACCUUGCUACUGAUUUGUAUGAAAAAAAAGAAGAAAAAAAAGCUACAAGUUAGCUUUAGCAACGUUUUCACAAUUCCUGUAGCUCCAAACGUUGUUCGCAACACACACAAAAAAAAUUGAAACCACUAAAACAGAUGUUUGUGUGACCAUGCUAACUCCUAACCUUGUUAGUAACAUGUAAAACAAAUAAAUAAAUAAAUAAAAUCAGUCCGAGACAGCCACAUGUUAGCUGCGCUAGCGUAGUCACUAUUCCUGUAACUCCAGACCUUGUUUGCAGCACGCAAAAAACACAGACUGAUCCAGCUAGAACAAACGUUAUUGUGACUCAAUGGUUCUAACCUUACUGCUGACUCGUAUAAACAAAAAAAAAA
This is a long non-coding RNA of Oryzias melastigma (Indian medaka), 3467 nucleotides long. RefSeq lists it as uncharacterized. The record is from RefSeq and is a predicted model, not a curated record. The transcript is spliced from 2 exons. NCBI's taxonomy places the organism in Eukaryota, Metazoa, Chordata, Actinopteri, Beloniformes, Adrianichthyidae.